GACGUAGGUGGCAAGCGUUGUCCGGAAUUAUUGGGCGUAAAGGGCGUGUAGGCGGCCUAUUAAGUCAGGCGUGAAAUCCCUGGGCUUAACCUUGGGACUGCGUUUGAUACUGAUGGGCUUGAGGACAGGAGAGGAAAGCGGAACUCCGUGUGUAGCGGUGAAAUGCGUAGAUAUACGGAAGAACACCAGUGGCGAAGGCGGCUUUCUGGACUGUCCCUGACGCUGAGGCGCGAAAGCGUGGGGAGCAAACAGG
This 253-nucleotide ribosomal RNA is filed under the name uncultured bacterium. RNAcentral describes it as "partial 16S ribosomal RNA". It matches the Rfam family "Bacterial small subunit ribosomal RNA", at positions 524 to 776 of the family's 1533-position model. The record is from RNAcentral.